This 466-nucleotide ribosomal RNA is filed under the name uncultured bacterium. RNAcentral describes it as "partial 16S ribosomal RNA". It matches the Rfam family "Bacterial small subunit ribosomal RNA", at positions 30 to 523 of the family's 1533-position model. The record is from RNAcentral.
AUUGAACGCUGGCGGCGUGCCUAACACAUGCAAGUCGAGCGAACUCUUCGGGGUGAGCGGCGGACGGGUGAGUAACGCGUGGGUAACCUGCCCUGUACACACGGAUAACAUACCGAAAGGUAUGCUAAUACGGGAUAAUAUAUGAAAGUCGCAUGGCUUUUAUAUCAAAGCUUUUGCGGUACAGGAUGGACCCGCGUCUGAUUAGCUAGUUGGUAAGGUAACGGCUUACCAAGGCGACGAUCAGUAGCCGACCUGAGAGGGUGAUCGGCCACAUUGGAACUGAGACACGGUCCAAACUCCUACGGGAGGCAGCAGUGGGGAAUAUUGCACAAUGGGCGAAAGCCUGAUGCAGCAACGCCGCGUGAGCGAUGAAGGCCUUCGGGUCGUAAAGCUCUGUCCUCAAGGAAGAUAAUGACGGUACUUGAGGAGGAAGCCCCGGCUAACUACGUGCCAGCCGCCGCGGUAA